Caerostris darwini is the source of this 101-nucleotide non-coding RNA. The record is from the annotation of a GenBank genome assembly. Lineage: Eukaryota; Metazoa; Arthropoda; Arachnida; Araneae; Araneidae.
GAUCGAAUCCACCGGUUCUCGUUAGAUCUCACCGAAGUCAAGCAUCGUUGGGCGCGGUCAGUACUUGGGUGGGUGACCACCUGGGAACACUGCGUGCCGUU